This 758-nucleotide ribosomal RNA is filed under the name Staphylococcus haemolyticus. RNAcentral describes it as "partial 23S ribosomal RNA". It matches the Rfam family "Bacterial large subunit ribosomal RNA", at positions 208 to 964 of the family's 2925-position model. The record is from RNAcentral. Lineage: Bacteria; Bacillati; Bacillota; Bacilli; Caryophanales; Staphylococcaceae.
ACCCGGAGGAAGAGAAAGAAAAAUCGAUUCCCUGAGUAGCGGCGAGCGAAACGGGAAGAGCCCAAACCAAUAAGCUUGCUUAUUGGGGUUGUAGGACACUCUAUACGGAGUUACAAAGGAAUAUAUUAGACGAAUCAUCUGGAAAGUUGAAUCAAAGAAGGUAAUAAUCCUGUAGUUGAAAAUAUAUUCUCUCUUGAGUGGAUCCUGAGUACGACGGAGCACGUGAAAUUCCGUCGGAAUCUGGGAGGACCAUCUCCUAAGGCUAAAUACUCUCUAGUGACCGAUAGUGAACCAGUACCGUGAGGGAAAGGUGAAAAGUACCCCGGAAGGGGAGUGAAAGAGAACUUGAAACCGUGUGCUUACAAGUAGUCAGAGCCCGUUAAUGGGUGAUGGCGUGCCUUUUGUAGAAUGAACCGGCGAGUUACGAUCUGAUGCAAGGUUAAGCAGGAAAUGUGGAGCCGUAGCGAAAGCGAGUCUGAAUAGGGCGUUGAGUAUUUGGUCGUAGACCCGAAACCAGGUGAUCUACCCAUGGUCAGGUUGAAGUUCAGGUAACACUGAAUGGAGGACCGAACCGACUUACGUUGAAAAGUGAGCGGAUGAACUGUGGGUAGCGGAGAAAUUCCAAUCGAACUUGGAGAUAGCUGGUUCUCUCCGAAAUAGCUUUAGGGCUAGCCUCAAGUGAUGAUUAUUGGAGGUAGAGCACUGUUUGGACGAGGGGCCCCUCUCGGGUUACCGAAUUCAGACAAACUCCGAAUGCC